Unclassified non-coding RNA from Pongo abelii (Sumatran orangutan), 147 nucleotides. It matches the Rfam family "Metazoan signal recognition particle RNA". From Rfam's summary of the family: The signal recognition particle (SRP) is a universally conserved ribonucleoprotein. Lineage: Eukaryota; Metazoa; Chordata; Mammalia; Primates; Hominidae. The record is from Ensembl.
GUCGGGUGUGGUGGCGCACACCUGUAAUCCCAGCUACUUGGAGGCUGAGGCAGGAGAAUUGCUUGAACUCGGGAGGCGGAGGCUGCAGUGAGCCGAGAUCACGCCACUGUACUCUAGCCUGGGUGACAGAGCGAGACUCCCUCUCAC